This is a non-coding RNA of Pelobates cultripes (western spadefoot toad), 15687 nucleotides long. The record is from the annotation of a GenBank genome assembly. NCBI's taxonomy places the organism in Eukaryota, Metazoa, Chordata, Amphibia, Anura, Pelobatidae.
GAGGAUUGCAUGCUUCUUACAGACGUCAGUAUUGGCAACAAUUUUUUUUUUUUCGUUGUUCAAAAGUCUCUUGCUCUCUGCACUUUUGUUCGCUCCUGUCCUGAUGUUCACAAACCAGUCUGCUCUUACCUGUACCGUUUGCCAUCCAAAAUGUUUUCGGAGCCGGAGAGAAAGGUAAAAAGAUAUAAAUCUGAAUUGUUCAUAUUGUGCACCUUUUUUUCGCACUACUUCCUGGUCUAUAAUAGGAGCAGGGUAUUAGUUGAACAGUAUUGUCUGUUAAUGUACUGCUGUUUUUGUUUUGUUUAUUUUACUGUGCCUUAAGUUUGUCUACACUUACUACACCUGGGUAAGUUGGAGUUUUUUUUAAUUCUUUACUAAACCGUGAAUUAUGAUGAACUGAAAACCGAAUUCUAAGAGUAAGGCUGAAAUAGUUUCUAUGCAAAAAUGCAUUUAUUUUGAAGCAUUGGCUAUUUUAGGAUUAUAUAUAUAUAUUUUUUUUUAUUGAGUUUUCCUGUCGCUACUUGGAAAUGAAAGGUCUGAAGUUACAAUUAAGGAGCCUCCAAAUAAAACAGGUUAACUUUGAUAAAUCUCUAGGCUCUUGUUUCAUGCCGGCUGAGGAUCAUGUGCGAUGCAGUUCAAACACCUAUAGAAAUAAAAGAAACUGCAGCGUCAACUAACCCUCCUACUCUAUGUCCUUAAUAGGCACAUAAAAUUAUACUGUACAUACUGCAAUGCAUACGUUAGCCUUGAAGCAAGAUAGUUAUUUUAUAAGUUAUUUCCACGUCACCUGUGGCAGAUGGAAUCACUUCCCCAAUGUCAAUUUUUUGGUAAACUUUUGCUUUAAUAAUUACAGUUUUAUAUAGGAUGGGUAGAAUGGAUUCUAACUGAAUUCCCUGGCCAGUUUAAUACAAAAACAAUAGUUUCAGAGCUGUCGUAGUCAGUCAGGGGCUGCAAAACCAAGCCCCUGGUUUGGCAGCCACGGCUAAUUUGUGGCACACGGCGUGAAGUGGUGUGCACAUGCCUGUAGCCUCUGAUCAGCUGACACAUCUGUCAGUAUAAACAGAACUAUAUCCUGCCAAGACUUCUGCAUCUGGAAGACUGCUUUGGGCUUUUAACUUCUCCCUCUAUGUUAUAAACCAAGACAACAAAAUCAAAACAUUUCCUUUCGCAAAAUAAUGCCAUCAUAAAAGUCAACUCAACGGAAAACAAGUCAGGGAGAAUGUGUCAGGCUGCUCAUAAAAAGUCCAACAAAUAUUCAAAUAUUCUAUAUCUAAAUAGAUUGUGUUGCUUCAUGUGCUAAUACAAUAUUUUAGAAUACUGGCAUAGAGUCUUUAUGGGCCAGACAGUGAUAACAGAAUGUAGUAGCACGGUAUGAAAUAUUAUUGGUCUUUGAUGGGUUAAGAGAACAUAUUAUAAGAGAUGUAAUAUCGCUGCUAUAUAUGUAGUGUUCUACUAUUAAUAGUUUUCACUCCCGCAAAACCUUUAUUUCCUUGUAGAUCUAAUUUCUACUAUUUUGUCUCUUGAGAUGUGUUUUUGCAGUCAGUAGCAAGAAGUUCACUGGUGCUAUUAAUCACUCGUUAAUUGAGCUGUAGUUUCUAUUUAUAAACACUUUUCGUUGUUUGUUUUUUUAUUACAGAAGACAAGUUAAUACUGAGGAAACAUUCACUCAACAAGGGUUAGGGAGAUCAAGUUUGUCAUAUUAUAGCUAAUUGGGUCUAUAUUUAUAGGAAAGCAGGAUUCUACAUCUCUAAAUCCAAAAUUCCAAAACGUUCCUUUCCACGAGGUUAUAAAUAUUUGUAUUCUUAUUAUUUUGAAAUAUAAAUACAAUACACUCUUUCACUUAAUUACCAAUGUAUUGUAGUGGGUACAAUAAGUGGACUCAAUGGAAAAUGCAUGUGAAUUCUUUAGAAAUUGGUUUACAUGUUGUGAGCUUUAAAGGGACACACCAGUCCCCUAAACUGAGUUCUUUAUGGAUUAACUGCAUUUCAUCUCUGGCUUGUUUCAUAGACGUGCCCAUUUCAAGAGAAAUCAGCACAUUACAAAUCUCCUGUUAUGCAGACAGCUGUAAAGGUUUUUGAACUAGUUCAAAUGAGAAGUGAGCACCAUUUUGUUUCAAUGCUUCUCUUUGAGAAGCAUCUGAUUAGACACAUCUCAUCAGUAAUAAUGGCUUUGCGGGAGGAGGGAAUCAGAGCUGCUGUGAGAAGCAGGGUCAGACUGGGAAAACAUUUUCAAGGAUUUAUCACCAGGGAAUCUUAUGGACAGAGCUCUGCUGAAGAGCUCUCACAUAGGGAAAAUGCCCUAUUUUUGUUUUACACAGCGCAUGCAAAUUUAAUGACACGGUUGCGCAGUGUUUACAGGUGAAUUGUCUCUGGUGUCCCCAUAAGAAGAAUUCCAGAGGACAAAAGUAGGACAGGCCGGUACAGAGUGUUGAGCUUGUGUUGGGAGGUUGUCUGUGGGACUGCAUUUGUGUAGAGACAGCUGUUUGUGGUGUAGUAUGCGUAAAGGGGCAUUUUUAGUGGUGUAUUAUGUGUUGAAAGGGCUGUAGUUUGAAUUUGUGUCCACACAUAACGUGUGUAAAGGGUGUGUCUAUUGGUUGUAGAGAUUGUGUGUGUGUGUGUGUGUGUGUGUGUGUGUGUGUCUAGAGGGUGUAGUGUAUUUGUCCAUGGAAUGUAGUGUGUGCCUAGGGCAGUGAUGGCGAACCUAUGGCACGCGUGCCACAGGUGGCACGCCAGGCCCUCUCUGUCGGCACGCGGCCACAGGUUCGCCAUCAAUGCAGAGUAGGCACCUGCCUGCCCGAAACGGCAGGCGCCUACUCUGCUUCCGGGUCGGGAGGCAGGGGGAGGGAUCUGUGAUGCAGCUCCCCUGUCCUCCCGCGCGAUGCUGUGUGGAGCAUUGCCGCACGUUACCAUGGCAACGCUCCACAUAGCAUUGCACGGCAGGACAGGGGAGCUGCAUCACAGAUCCCUCCCCCUGCAGUGCUUACCAUCACCGGACCACCAGGGAUGGCUGUGUGUCCCCCCCCCCCACUUCAUUAAAGGUAAGAAGGAGGGAGGGGGGGUAUACUGACACAGCACCCUUACCCCCCCAGCACUACCCUUACCCCCCCCAGCAGUACCCUUACCCCCCAGUACCCCCCAGCAGUACCCCCACACCCCCCAGCAGUACCCCCACCCCACCCCAGCAGUACCCUCUACUCCCCCAGCAGUACCCCCCCAGCAGUACCCCUACCCUACCCCCAGCAGUACCCCCACCCCCCAGCAGUACCCCUGCCCCCACACACACAGUACCUCUACCCCCACACAGUGUACCCCACCCUCCAGCAGCACCCCACCCCCAAGAGCACCCCUUACACAUACAACACACAGCACCCCCCACACAUACACAGCACCCCACACACACACACACACAGCACCCCACAACACACACACAGCACCCCCACACAAACACACACAGCACCCCCACACCCCCACACACACAGCACCCCCCACACACACACACACACAGCACACACACACACACACAACCCACACACACACACACAGCACCCCUCACAUACAACACUCACACACAUACGCACCCCCCCACACACACACAGCACCCCCCCACCUCAAUGCAGUAUGUGUGUAUUCAGCAGUGUGUGUGUGUGUGUUUGUAUUCAGCAGUCUGUGUGUGUGUGUGUGUGUAUUCAGCAGUCUGUGUGUGUUUGCGUGUACUCAGCGGACUGUGUGUGUGUACUCAGCAGUCUGUGUGUGUGUGUACUCAGCAGUCUGUGUGUGUGUGUGUGUGUGUACUCAGCAGUCUGUGUGUUUGUAUUCAGCAGACUGUGUGUAUGUAUUCAGCAGUCUGUGUGUGUAUGUAUUGCUUUUGUUGGAGAUACUAAUAAAUAUAAGCUUAAUUUUAUCUAUUUAUAUCAUUAUUUAAAAUUUGUAUCAUUGAACUCUCUGUGUUCUUUUAAAACUAAAGUUAUUAGUUCGGACAACAGUACGAGUUGUUUUUUCUAAACUUAAACCUCAGUAUUUGGGUUUAAUUGCCGUGUUGGCACUUUAAGGAGAAAAAAAGUUGGCAUGUAUUGCGGUUUGGGCACUCGGGCUCAAAAAGGUUCGCCAUCACUGGCCUAGGGGAAUCUCUGCGUUAGCAUAGGGCCUGUAGUAUAACAUGUACAAAGAUUGUAUGGUGCAUAAAUGUGUAUUGGAGCCAUAAUGUGCAUGUAAAUGAAUAGAGGCUGUUGUGAGUGUGUUCAUUAGGAGCUCUUGUGUGGGCUGUUUGUGUAUGUACAGGAGCUGAAGUGUCUGGGUAUGUAUAGGGGCUGUAAUAUGUGUGUUGUGAUGCAUAGGGGCUGGAGGGUGAGAAAGAAGAGCAUUUAGAUACGUAUUUUUAAAAAAAAAUAUCCCCUCUUUUGUUAGCUUUGGCCCAGGGAAGCGGGGACACCCUGGUGGUCCAGUGGGCUGAGUGCUGACAGGAGCUCAUGAGAGCAAUGCACUUUGUCCACACCAGCCUGAAGUGUAAACCAGAUACUCCCUGCACAACUCUGCCUCUGUGUGCAACGCGCCGGUGAUGGAGAUCUGUUAUCUCCCUACUGGCCCAUGAAGGGACUGAUCAUAGGACUUCCAGCCUUGGAUUGAAUGGGCAGGAAUAUGCUUUAAACUCUCUGGCCAGCCUUGGCACAUGGCCAUUGUGGCCCACCGGGCCAAAAAGGUUUACUGGAACUGGAAUUACGUUAGUAUAAUUGAUUUUUAAUUGCUUUUUAUACCUAAGUGAGUGGAGCUAGUAAUGUACACUCCAAUAAAUAAAAGAAAAAAGAUUAUACACUGCUCAUAAAAACAAAGGGAACACUUAAACAACACAAUGCAACUCCAAGUCAAUCACACUUCUGUGAAAUCAAACUGUCCACUUAGGAAGCAACACUGAGUGACAAUCAAUUUCACAUACUGUUGUGCAAAUGGGAUAGACAACAGGUGGAAAUUAUAGGCAAUUAGCAAGACACCCCCAAUAAAGGAGUGGUUCUGCAGGUGGUGACCACAGACCACUUCUCAGUUCCUAUACUUCCUGGCUGAUGUUUUGGUCACUUUUGAAUGCUGGCGGUGCUUUCACUCUAGUGGUAGCAUGAGACGGAAUCUACAACCCACACAAGUGGCUCAGGUAGUGCACCUCAUCCAGGAUGGCACAUCAAUGCGAGCUGUGGCAAGAAGGUUUGCUGUGUCUGUCUGCGUAGUGUCCGGAUCAUGGAGGCGCUACCAGGAGACAGGCCAGUACAUCAGGAGACAUGGAGGAGGCCGUAGGAGGGCAACAACCCAGCAGCAGGACUGCUACCUCCGCCUUUGUGCAAGGAGGAACAGGAGGAGCACUGCCAGAGUCCUGCAAAAUGACCUCCAGCAGGCCACAAAUGUGCAUGUGUCUGCUCAAGCAGUCAGAAACAGACUCCAUGAGGGUGGUAUGAGGGCCCGACGUCCACAGGUGAGGGUUGUGCUUACAGCCCAACACCGUGCAGGACGUUUGGCAUUUGCCAGAGAACACCAAGAUUGGCAAAUUCACCACUGGCACCCUGUGCUCUUCACAGAUGAAAGCAGGUUCACACUGAGCACAUGUGACAGACAUGACAGAGUCGGGAGACGCCGUGGAGAACGUUCUGCUGCCUGCAACAUCCUCCAGCAUGACUGGUUUGGCAGUGGGUCAGUAAUGGUGUGGGGUGUCAUUUCUUUGGGGGCCGCACAGCCCUCCAUCUGCUCGCCAGAGGUAGCCUGACUGCAAUUAGGUACCGAGAUGAGAUCCUCAGACCCCUUGUGAGACCAUAUGCUGGUGUGGUUGGCCCUGUGUUCCUCCUAAUGCAAGACAAUGCUAGACCUCAUGUGGCUGGAGUGUGUCAGCAGUUCCUGCAAGACGAAGGCAUUGAUACUAUGGACUGACCCGCCCGUUCCCCAGACCGGAAUCCAAUUGAGCAAAUCUGGGACAUCAUGUCUCGCUCCAUCCACCACCGUCACGUUGCACCACAGACUGUCCAGGAGUUGGCAGAUGCUUUAGUCCAGGUCUGGGAGGAGAUCCCCCAGGAGACCAUCCGCCACCUCAUCAGGAGCAUGCACAGGGAGGUCAUACAGGCACAUGGAGGCCACACACACUACUGAGCCUCAUUUUGACUUGUUUUAAGGACAUUACAUCAAAGUUGGAUCAGCCUGUAGUGUGUUUUUCCACUUUCAUUUUGAGUGUGACUCCAAAUCCAGACCUCCAUGGGUUGAAAAAUUUGAUUUCCAUUGUUUUAUUUUUGUGUGAUUUUGUUGUCAGCACAUUCAACUAUGUAAAGAACAAAGUAUUUCAGAAGAAUAUUUAAUUCAUUCAGAUCUAGGAUGUGUUAUUUUUGUGUUCCCUUUAUUUUUUGAGCAAUGUAUAUAUUUUGUUUUUCAAUUGGAGUGUUUCUUUAAAAUAUGAUUGCUUCUUAUCCAUAUGACAUAUUUGCUGAAGUAAAAUAGUAUGGUUGGAACCAGCGUGUGCAUCCCGCGUGCUCAGUCCUUUCAGUCCCAAGAAAUGAGUAACUCAACACAUCCUGGCAUUAUUACCUCAGUCAAGUAGCAUUUGUUCCUUUCAUUUCUUUAUAAGUUAAAUAAUUAAUACUGACAUUUUACAGUAUUACUUUGCUGAGAUUCAACUGAGCCAGGAAAUGCUGUCUAAAUCUUAAUGACAAAGUUUUAUUAAACUAACUCAGACCAGAAGGACAGCAAACCUCAAAUAGCAAGAUAAUUGCCAAACUUUUUCUAAACGGUUUGAUGAACUACCAUUGGCCAUCAAAUGAAGAUUCCAGGCACCGUAACCAAUACAGAGUGCUGUGGUGCUUGUGUUAUCUAAAAUGCCCUUUUAAAAAAUAUUUAUAGUUUGAUUAACUAAUUUGACUUCCCUGAUGUUGGCAGUGAGUUUUUUCUCUGUUUCAUCAUAAACCUUUUAGACAUAUCCAUUUACAAAAUGUGCCUUUGUACAUGGUACGCAUUUUGCAUGUUUUCACAAAUAACUGAAACCAUGCUCUAAGUAUACAGUACAGGCACUGAAGUUUGGUUUCCAUGGCGUAAAUCAUUGAGAGCCGUCACCAAGUGAUGACUGAGGGCCUUGGUGUCAUGCAUUGACGUGAGAUAUGGAUGAGGGAGUUGCCAUGGUAACUUUCCUGAACAAAUAUUGGACAAUCUGCUUGGACUCUGUUUACCUGUCACAGGAAGUCUGAAAGGUUGAGCUUAAUGUACUCUGGUAAAAAUCUAAAAAUAAUUUCAUGAACAUACAAGAAAUAGACAAUAAACACAAUAAAUAAUCCCAGUAUAUAUAGGGCAUUCUAAUUUCAAAGAGUUCAAAGAGUGCUACUGAAUAUUUAAAUGAUAUAAUUCUAGUAUGCAUGUUAAACAAUCGCCAAUCUUGAUACUCGAAUAGCUUUAUGUAGGAACCUUGUGUCUAUAGAUACAUAGUUCCUGCAAAAAAAAAAAAAAGAGACUAAUUAAACAUUAAGCCAUACAUUACACCAUAGACAUGUGGGUUCCUGAAGGGCCCUCUUAUGAAUCUAGCAUCAUGUUAUACCUAACCAGAGCGAUUUAUAGUUUCCCAGAUGAAGGUGAUGGGUGUGCCAGUUAAUAUAAUACUCAGACAAUAAUAAAAUAAACUAGCCAAGCACCAUUUAUACAGAGUUUUCAGUCUACAACAGUGAGGUGAGGUGAAGAGUACUAUGGGACAGUCAAGUUAAGAGAAUAUGAAAUCCACACUAUAACCUCGAUUUCUUAGUGCUUGUAAAAACUGGGAUUAACAAAUGAUUUAUGCUUGUAUUUAUUUUAAAAGAUCUGUGAGACAUAUGAGUCUAACUCACAGUAUCAGGAGGUAGUAUAUGUACAGUUCCAGUAUAAUAAAAUGUCUUGGUUUUAAGACUUCAAAGUUGGGGGCAUAUUAGUUACUAGACUUGGAGAAUCGUUUUGGUUUUAGCUUCAAUUUGUUGAAUUUGGGCUGAUUAAGUGAUUGAUCAAAUUCCCAAACUCUAUACGAGAUGGUUGAGGAUUCUUGUGUUCAUUCCAGAUUUAAAGGAAAAAAAGAUUAUUGAGACAGUCACUAAAUGUUGAUUUUAUUCACAGAUUAAAUGAAAAGUAAGCAAUAAAGGGAAAGAAUUUGAAGCAGUAAAAAAUAAUCUAUAUUUAGAUGUUUAUAUAUCAUAUGUGUAAUAAAAAUAUAAUAUAUAUCAUUGAAAAAAAAAAUUAUACUGCUCCUACUAUUUUUCUUGACCAUUGUAAACCAAGUGGCAGAAAAUGCUGCUAUCAGUGUACUGAAAAAUAUAUACAUAGAAUUUGUGUGACCUUUUAAUUUCUCUGAUUUGAUUCCCGCAUCAGUUUUUCAGUACUGAAAUUCUGCCGAACCGACAUAUAGGCAAAAUUCGGAAGUCACAAAAAAUGUAACAUUUUCAGGAAAAACGGUUCAGGCAAUCUGAAUUUACUCGUUGUACACAAAUCUUUGAGAAACACCAAAUAAUGUUCAUCAAUGGAAAACUGAGAAUCCGCCAUCUCAGGGUUGGAACCAGUUGCUAAAUUCUUCCCAUUGAGAGUAAUAAGAGCUGUUAGUGAUUGUCUUUUAUUUAGUGGCUGCCGUUAACUUCCUGUCAAUGCUUGGGAAAUGUACAAAAUAAAGAUGAAGGAAUAGCGCACACACAAAAAUACGUUUUAAAUUGUACAAUGCUACUUAUAAUUCACCUAUCUCAGCAAAUAAAUAAGGGGAUUCAGUUCCACCAUAUGGCCAUAUUGUGUUAGUCCUCCACUACGUCACAGUACCCCAAUAUCGUUGGCUCCUAACCUAAUUUUGACAUGUUGAGACAAACGACUACUUAAAUAGUGACAGUACUAAAUUAAUAUAAAUUAUAUUAAAGUGCAUUGAAUUAAUCCUUAACAAUACCUAUUUGAUAUAGAGCAGAUUUAUCACAAUGCACUGUUACUGUAUAAUUAUAAGUUCUGUCACUUAGGGUUAGGGCUUGUAGUGUGGGGCUAUGGGGCUGUAGUAGAGGGAUGCUAGUUGUAAAUGGGGCUUAAAGCCUGUAGUGUGGGGAGGGGGUGGAGAGGUGCUGUCAUGUGGGUUAGAGGCACUAGUGGGGUGCUAUGAGCUGUAGUAGGGGUUAUGGUGUGUUAUGAUGGCGUGUAGUGGGUGAUUGUGGGGUGUAGUGGGGGUUAAAAGCCAGAAUGGAUUGCUUAGCACCUGAAAUGGUUGUUAGGGGAUGUAGUGUGGAUAGUAAGGGGCAGUAGUGGGCUUAAAGAGCUGUAGUGGGGGAUAGUGGCUGUAGUGGGGUAUAAGGGCAGUAUUAGAGGAUGGGCAGUAGUGGGGUUUAAAUAGCUGCAUUAAGUAUAGAGAUUGUAGUGGGAUGUAAGAGCAAUAGUGCGAGGUUAGGAGCUGUAGUGGGGGAUAUGGGGUAGAAGUGUAGGGUUAGAUGCUGUAGUGGGGAAUAGUCAGUCUCACUCCCCAGCGCCAGUGCUUAUUACAGGGAGAGGAGACAAUCGGUCUCUCUCCUUAGCCGCAGUAUCUCUCUCCCCAGCAGCAGAUUGUGUUCCAGGGAGGGGAGACAGUCAGUCUCAUUUUCCAGAGGCAGCAGCUUUCCUUCCCAGCAGAACCCUGGAUUUACAAAAGGGAGCUUGUGGCACGAGGCCCUCUGGACAACUGAACCUUUUGAGAAAGGUCACCAGACUAACACAGGGUUUGGUUAGUCUCCCCAGGAGGGGCAAGAUAUGUGACAAACACUCUUUUCCAUCAAUGCUUGCCACAAACUACUAGAGGAUUGUGGAAGCUGGCCUCCUGCCCAUCGACUAUAGUCCAGGUCUGAGACCCCAUUCGAGAGUUACCCUGCCCAGCAGCCAUUAGCAACUUUCCCUCGGUGCCCCUGUUUCAGCACUUUUCCUUCUUACGAAUGAAACCAAAUGCUAGCUCCCUGGUGGCAGUUGGCAUGAACAAACCAACGAAGGGUCCUCAUCGGUACUUAGCCGAGAACGCUAUGGAACUAAUUUCAGCACGAGGACUUUGUGGUUCCCGGUCACCUCGAGCGGUACUUAGCCGCAAAUGUUAUGGAACUAUUUUUGGCUAGGUGACCUUGCGGUUUUCUGGGCAAUUUGGUCCAGGGUUUUGAACUACUUUGCAACCCACCAGGAGAGCACUUUUUGAAAGGAAGGUGCCUGAGACUAAAGGGAACAAACGCUCCCUGAGAGCCAGGCGGAGCACCCCAUAUUUCGGACGCAGGAUGUAGGACAUGUGGGGUUAUUAUACGUUUUUAUGAUGUUUUGGGGUCAUUUUAUGUUUUUGUGUUUUUGUUUGGCUCUCUGCACCUUGGAGAUAAUUUGCUUAUCGGUCAUUAACUCAAUUAUCUCCCAGGCCCAGAGAUUAAUGGGAGGGGCUUGUAUUGUAUUGUUUGGAGACCUCCUGCUGUACAUAAAAGACCAAGAUUGGCUCAUUAAAAUCAGUUUUACUCCCAGAACAAUGUGUCGUCUAGUUACUGGGAGGGGAAAGAGCUAUUCACUAUCCUGUUCCAGCUCAUGGAAAAUUCACCGGGAAAAGUCCUUGUAAGGACUAUUGCUCCCAGGACUGUGUGUUGUCCAGUCACUGGGAGGAAAUAGAGCUAGUCCCCUAUCCUGUUCCAGGACGGAGAGGCUCCUGUCAAACCAUGGUGACAGGGGCAGAAGCGAUGAGGUUUUAGCAAGAAAGCGAUCCUUGGCAGAGGUUCCCAUCCAGGGUACAGGGAGCUCCACUACAGAGUAUAAGUGCAGUAUUAGUUAAGGGCUGUGGUUAGGGGCAGUAUUUGUAGGAUAGGGGCUGUUAUGGGGAUUAAAGAGCUGUGGCAGGGGAUAACAACUGCAGGGGGGUAUAAGGACACUGGUGGGAUUUUAGGAGCUGUAGUGGGGUUUAGUGGGAGUAGUGAGGGGUUAUGUGCAGUAGUUGAAUUUAGGAGCUGUAUUGGGGGUUAGGGGCAGUAGUAGGGGAUAGGGACUGUAGUUGGGGACUGGUGCUGUAGUGGGGUAUAGGGGAAAUAAUUUUAGGUUACAGGCUGUAGUGGUGGUUACGGACAAUAAUGCGGGAUUAUGAGCAGUAGUGUAGGUUUGUAGGCAGUAGUGGAGGCUAGUAGCUGAGGGUAAAGUUAGAAAAACAUUUUAACUUAAAAAAAAAAAAAAGUUUCUUCCCCACUCCAUAAAGCUUGCCUUGUAGUUAUUAUUCUAACAAUAAAUGCAUACUAAUAAAAUUCUAUGCCCUUAUUCGGUCACCACAAGAUGACCUGGCAACAGUUUCUACCCUUUCUAGUCCUUUCCAUUUUGGGUUGACUGAAUAAAGGCACAUAUUUAUUUGAAAAACAUGGUCAUUACUUAUCACUGUAUUUGUUGGGGUCCGAGGUGGAGUUCCUCAGCUGAGAUGUAUACAUAACAGGUGUGUUUUCAAUUUGAUAAGAGCAGGGAGCAGCCAUCCAGUGUGCCCGGGGUCCACAUUUAUUGAUUGUGCGAAAUGAAAUGAACACUCUACUCCCAAAACAAUUUUAUCUUAAUGACAUUGUUUUGGAGAUUUGAGUUCAUGGAUGCUGGCUUACUUUAAAGUGUUAAAAUGUUAUUGAAUGGUUUAACUCCUAAGCUGAUCCCUGGGCAGCCAUCUACACUCUUUAUUGCCUCUUGUGUUCGGCAGUUGCAGGAGAGCAGGAAGGGAAGCAAUGGGCGUUGAUGGUACUUACAUGGUUACAUAGUUACAAAGGCUGAAGAGAGACAUGUGUCCAUCAAGUUCAGCCUCUCUCUUAUAUCUUUUUGCCUAUUGAUUCAAAAUAAGGCAAAAAAAAAAAAAGUCUGAAGUGCUUUCAAUUUUGCAUCCAAUUUGCAUCAAAUUCCAAUUUAUCCAGUUGCUGUUUAAACAUCACUCUGAUAAAACCACCUCUUCAUGCAAGAAUUCCACAUCCUUAUUGUUUUUACUGUAAAAAAACCUUUCCUUUGCUUUAGACUAAAUCUCCUUUCUUCCAGUCUAAAUGUAUGACCUUGUCUCUUAUGUAUAGUUCUGUUUAUGAAUAGAUUUCCAGACAAUGGUUUGUUUUGGCCCCGAACAUAUGUGUAUAAUGUUAUCAUAUGCCCUCUGAGACACCGUUUUUCCAAACUAAAGAGAUUUAAAUUUGUUAACCUUUCUUCAUAACUAAGCAAAAAUUCUGUAGCCUGCCUCUGCACUUUUUCUAAUGCCAUAAUAUCCUUCUUUAGAACAGGUGCCAACAAUUGCACAGCAUAUUCAAGGUUGUGGGUCUUACCAGUUAUUUAUAAAGAGGCAAAAUUAUAUUUUCAUCCUGAGAAUUAAUGCCUCUAUUUAUACAUGUCAAUACCUCACUCAGGGCCUGCGCUACCAUAAGCCUUAGGGCGCUCUGGCCGCAAAUAUCCAGUUGACCAGCAGGAGAGAAGUGCACAGCGCUCCUCUCCUGAUGGUCAUUUACUGUAGCGUGGUCGAGCGCAGCAGGAGAGGUUGCCCGAGGGAGCUCUGAUCCAGAUCCACAUUUCCUGUAUAGCUCUCUCGUGCGCCCUGUUUAGGUCCUGGGAGCUGGAAUAUGAUGUCAUAUUCCAGCUCCCAGGACCUCUACAGGGUGCGCGAAGAAGCUAUACAGGAAAUGCGGAUCUGGAUCAGAGCUCACUCAGAGGUGCACUAUGGCAGCCCACUGGACACCAGGCUGUGCAUCCACUCCAGGUCUCCAGAAGUUAGUGAGACUGGGUGGAUUGAAAAGUGUGUGUCUUACAAUACUACCCCUGUCCCCUUACCCCCACAAUAGCUCCAGUCCCCCAUAAUGCUGCCCUACCCCAUACUGUAUCUAUCCCCCCAGUACCCUGCAAUGCUGUCCCCUUCCCACCAUAGCCCCUGUCCCCCACAAAACUGUCCCUUCCCCCACAAUAGUCCCAGUCCCCCAUAAUGCUGCCCUGUCCCUCAAAACUGUUCCAAUCCCCCCCCAUAGCCCCAGUCCCCUACAAUGCUGCUCUACCUCCCACAAUACCGCUCCUGCCCCCCCAUACUGUUCCUAACUCCCCCAACAUUGCCACAGUCCCCCACAAUACUGCCCCUGCCCCCCCACUAAAGCUCCAAACCCCAUAAAACUGUGCUGAUCCCCCCAAUAUAGCUCCAGAUCUCACAAUACUGUUCCUAUCUCCUCCACCAUAGACUCAAUCCCCCACAAUACUGUUCAUAUACCCUCACUAAUGCCCCUGUCCCACACAAUACUGCCCAUAUUCCACCACACUAAAGCCCCAUCCCCCAAAAUACUGUUCCUAACCCUACCACUAAUGCCCCAAUCCCCUAUGAUACUGCCCCUUUCCCCCCACACUAAAGAAUCAGUCCCCCACAAUAUGGGCCCUGUCCCCAUACUAAAGAAUUAAUCUGCGACAAUACGGCCCCUCCCCUUGACGGAAGCCCUAGUCCCACAGACACACAGUACUAAAGCCCAAUUGUACAGUGCUACAGAAUUUGUUGGCGCUAUAUAUAUUAUAAUAAUUAUAAAGUCCCUAUCCCACACAAUUCGGCCCCUAUCCCCCACACUAAAGCAAAGUGACACAGAAAGGGGCUGGUGGGCAAGUAAGAGACACAAGGGCUCAGGGAGGUGUAAGAUACUAAAUGUGGUAUAACACACACAGGGAUAACACAUUCAAGAGGGGAUAUGUAACACUAAAGGGGGUAAGAAAUUACAGCAUCAGCUAAAGCUGCCAACCUAUGACUGGCUGCCCGAUUUAAGUAGCAGUAUUCCCUGUUCUGCUUUGCUUCCUGCUCUUGUAUGUAGGUGGACCAAUCAUCUUUGUACUAUCUUGGCUUUUGAAUGGUGUCACACAUGUUUAAUAGCUUAAGGUAAAAUGGAUCCAAGGGACUCCAGUCCCCAAAACAGCUUUAUUGAAACAAGGCUUUUUUUCUUUAACUUUGUUUGGCGGAGUGGGAGGUUCAGUGUUCCUUUAACAGCAUAGAGCAGUUUAUUAACCCCUUCAAAUCCAGGUGUCUAUUUUUUUGAGGGGGGCACAGGGGGGAUUUAAUGACAGGCAACUGUCCUAUGUUUGCUUCGUGAUUGAAUUUUCCUUUAAACAACAUCAGACUUCAAUAAUAAAACUCAGUUUUAAUGGCACAUUUAAAAAUUUUACUUGAAGUUCUUGCAAAUGGGGUAUUUCAAUUUUUGCAAUAUCCCCCUGUAUGCUGGAAACAUACAGGGGGAUAUUUAAAAAGAGAAAUAGUAGUACAAAGUUUUAUGUUAAAUUAUCACGUGCAUUCUACUAGUUUUAAAGGUAAUUAUUCCACUUUUAAACCACACAAUUCCUCUUAAUCCCAAACUUUCUAGCACCCUUGGUUAUCAAUAUGAUCAGUAUAUUAUUAUAGUUAUGAUGAUCAAUUCGAGUGGUGCCUCUUUCAUAAAGACUGUGCUUGCAUUGAUUUCUUAUGCAUAACAUGGUUAUAACCCACCAACAUUGGGAUCCAGUAAAACAGGAUGCUGAGUGGCAGGAUAAAAGGGUUCUUUACUGGUAAUAUGAACCAUGUCAUGACCUACCCAGAAAGGGGACCGUAUCGAUUACUGUAUAGGCAAGUCAUCCUGGAUUGAAUUAACUUCCAUUCACGCAGACCAGCCCACCAAAGGAGAACCAUGCAGAGAGAAUUGAGCAUAGCAAGCGUGUCUAAUAAUGUGCUUGUGCUGCACUUUCUAGGCACAGUUCUCUGGUGUCCCCAAAAGCAGUACACCAGGGAACAAUCUUAGUCAGUGCAACAAUGCUGGUGUAGGAACUGUCCUGCUGACAGUUGGGAAGCCCACUGUAAUGAAAGCAGGGAGUGCUGGGGAUGGGUUAGCCUAGCAAUGCCAUCCAAUUUGGAUGGAAUUGCAUUUGAUUCAUCGGAAGAACAAUUUCUAUAUUUUAACGUCUGGAAGAGACCAAUUUUUUUAAAACUUCUGCAAAACUGUUCUACAAACAAACUAGGGAUUUGGCACCUGUAUUUGUAGCACCAAAACUGCUAUGGAGCUGUAAUGGGUAUUCUGAAUCUGAAAUCAUUGGGGUCUGCAGUCUAUGAACAUAUUUUGCAUUUGGAUAAAACAAAAAGAAAUUUAGAGCAACUCUGGGGAAAACUCCUAAAUGUGGAGCUAAGCACAUGGAAACAAACUGUGGCUUCUUCUUCUGAUAUAGUUAUUAGCAGAAAAAUCUCAAAAUGAUUGUUAGGUCCCUCUACAGCUCUAUCUGUGCAUUCUCAUAUCACCUCCAGGUAAGUUCACUGUUCUCUGUAUGGGAAUAUGUGGUUGCAUUUUAGUGAAUUUAAAAAAUUGCCAAUGCAGGAAGUCUGGACAGCAAGCAGGAGACAGGAGCCAACUGAGUGUCUCUCACAGCAAAAUUAGCUAAUUUUAAAAAAAACAAAAAAACUUCCAGAACCAGCCUAUAUUGUUUGAAGUAGUGAGAAUUUUUAAUAAAAAUUCUAUACAUAUUAAAAAUCAGCUUUUCUUUGAAUAUGAUGACCAAAAUUAACCAUAAAUACCAUAUUCUUUUAUCAAGUGAAUUUUUUUUUAAAAACAAGUCAUUUUAACAGAAACUCGAUUCAAUGGAAUGCUAUUUGUUUUAAAAUCACACUCAUGUCACAUUAUUUUAUUAACACAGACUCAUUUCUAACCAUGUUUCUUUCCUUUUAACAUCCAGCGCUCCCUUCAAUUUCUGGAGUUCUCUUUUUGGGAGGUCCGAAAUGCAAGAACUCGCC